Molecule: ribosomal RNA, 440 nt
Filed under: uncultured bacterium
Lineage: Bacteria
Description: partial 16S ribosomal RNA
Rfam family: Bacterial small subunit ribosomal RNA
Source: RNAcentral
CCUACGGGUGGCAGCAGUGGGGAAUAUUGCACAAUGGGGGAAACCCUGAUGCAGCAACGCCGCGUGAGUGAAGAAGUAUUUCGGUAUGUAAAGCUCUAUCAACAGGGAAGAAAAUGACGGUACGUGAGUAAGAAGCCCCGUCUAAUUACGUGCCAGCAGCCGCGGUAAUACGUAGGGGGCAAGCGUAAUCCGGAUUUACUGGGCUUAAGGGGGGCGUAGACGGUGAUACAGGUCUGAAGUGAAAGCCCGGGGCUCAACCCCAGGAUUGCUUUGGAAACUGCCUGACUGGAGUGCUGGUGAGGCAAGCGGAAUUCCUGGUGUAGCGGUGAAAUGCGUAGAUAUUAGGAAGAACACCAGUGGCGAAGGCAGCUUGCUGGACCGUAACUGACGCUGAGGCUCGAAAGCGUGGGGAGCAAACAGGAUUAGAUACCCGGGUAGUC